UGGGGAAUCUUGCACAAUGGAGGAAACUCUGAUGCAGCGACGCCGCGUGAGCGAUGAAGCCUUUCGGGGUGUAAAGCUCUUACGCCAGGGACGAUAAUGACGGUACCUGGAGAAGCAGCUGCGGCUAACUACGUGCCAGCAGCCGCGGUAAUACGUAGGCAGCAAGCGUUGUUCGGAAUUACUGGGCGUAAAGGGUGCGUAGGCGGUGCUCUAAGUUUGGUGUGAAAUCUCCCGGCUCAACUGGGAGGGUGCGCCGGAAACUGGGGUGCUGGAGUGUGGGAGAGGAAAGCGGAAUUCCUGGUGUAGCGGUGAAAUGCGUAGAGAUCAGGAGGAACACCUGCGGUGUAGACGGCUUUCUGGACCAUAACUGACGCUGAGGCACGAAAGCGUGGGUAGCAAACAGGAUUAGAUACCCGUGUAGUCC
RNAcentral lists this ribosomal RNA (424 nucleotides) under uncultured prokaryote. Its description in RNAcentral is "bacterial SSU rRNA". It matches the Rfam family "Bacterial small subunit ribosomal RNA", at positions 355 to 796 of the family's 1533-position model. The record is from RNAcentral.